Neofelis nebulosa (Clouded leopard) is the source of this 356-nucleotide long non-coding RNA. RefSeq lists it as uncharacterized. The record is from RefSeq and is a predicted model, not a curated record. Lineage: Eukaryota; Metazoa; Chordata; Mammalia; Carnivora; Felidae. The transcript is spliced from 3 exons.
CAUCUGCAUGUGUCCAGAGGCUUGCUCUCCUCGCCUCAGGUUUUCAUGUGAAAAUUGAAAUCUUUAAUCCAUCUGGAAUUUGUUUCAUUUGUGGCAACAAGAGAGAGCAAGAGUGAGAGGUGGAGAGGCAGACACAGAAUCCGAAGCAGGCUCCAGGCUCCGAGCUGUCAGCACAGAGCCCGACGCGGGGCUCGAACCCACCAACCGUGAGAUCGUGACCUGGCUGAAGUCGGACGCUUAACCGACUGAGCCACCCAGGUACCCCUCCCUUUAAUUUUUAAGUUAAAUUCUUCAUUCAUUUAUUUUCACUCUUUUUUGUAACAACAAAUAUAUUUGAGGCUAUACAUUUUCCUUAA